Molecule: unclassified non-coding RNA, 199 nt
Filed under: uncultured fungus
Lineage: Eukaryota; Fungi
Description: sequence contains ITS1, 5.8S rRNA gene
Source: RNAcentral
CCGAAUUGUCGACACGAGUUGUUGCUGGCCCUUGAACGGGGGCAUGUGCACGCUCUGUUUGCAUCCACUCACACCUGUGCACCUUCUGUAGUUCUGCUGUCUGGGAGACACCCGUCUCCCUCCCUGUGGUUCUACGUCUUUACACACACACUGUAACAUGGUCUUAUGGAAUGUAUGCGGCGUUUAACGCAAUACAAUA